RNAcentral lists this ribosomal RNA (557 nucleotides) under uncultured Labrys sp. Its description in RNAcentral is "bacterial SSU rRNA". It matches the Rfam family "Bacterial small subunit ribosomal RNA", at positions 102 to 694 of the family's 1533-position model. Lineage: Bacteria; Pseudomonadati; Pseudomonadota; Alphaproteobacteria; Hyphomicrobiales; Xanthobacteraceae. The record is from RNAcentral.
ACGGGUGAGUAACGCGUGGGAACCUACCUGAAGGUACGGAACAACUCCGGGAAACUGGAGCUAAUACCGUAUGUGCCCGAGAGGGGAAAGAUUUAUCGCCUUCAGAUGGGCCCGCGUCAGAUUAGCUAGUUGGUGAGGUAAUGGCUCACCAAGGCGACGAUCUGUAGCUGGUCUGAGAGGAUGACCAGCCACACUGGGACUGAGACACGGCCCAGACUCCUACGGGAGGCAGCAGUGGGGAAUAUUGGACAAUGGGCGCAAGCCUGAUCCAGCCAUGCCGCGUGAGUGAUGACGGCCUUAGGGUUGUAAAGCUCUUUCGCUCGCGACGAUAAUGACGGUAGCGAGAGAAGAAGCCCCGGCUAACUUCGUGCCAGCAGCCGCGGUAAUACGAAGGGGGCUAGCGUUGUUCGGAAUUACUGGGCGUAAAGCGCACGUAGGCGGAUUGUUAAGUCGGGGGUGAAAUCCUGAGGCUCAACCUCAGAACUGCCUUCGAUACUGGCAAUCUCGAGUCCGGAAGAGGUUGGUGGAACAGCUAGUGUAGAGGUGAAAUUCGUAGA